UCACAUCUACUAUGUGUCUUGAACAAUGCUCUAGUCCAGGUCUGAAAUGGUCUUUCAGGAUGAUCGAACCAUUUUAUAGCCUCUCUGUCCUCUUGCUUGAGUCGUUCCAUACAAAUCUUAAAUUUCACCUCAUUACUUGCUCUUGCUGCAUUCCAUACUAGAUCCUUUAGUCCCUUGCCUUUAUGUUUAUGCCUAAAAUUUUGAUAUAUGUGUCUAACACAAUUUCUAUGUUCUGCUUUUGGAAACAAUUCCUUAACAACUCCAAUCAAUCCAUGUAACAUAGAUUUUAAAUUGUCAAAUACAUAAUAAAAAAAAAACCAGUAAACUAGAAAAAUGAAAGAAUUUGGAUGUCUCACUUUUUGUCUGUCAGACAUGAAGGCAAUGUGGUGACUAUUUGUUAUCUCUAAGUCAUAUCCAAGAUUUGUUAGAAACCAACUCCAAGUCUCCUUACUUUCAGCAUCACUGUGAAAGAUGCAAUCAUUAGGAUCCAUUGCAAUAGCAGCUAACAAAUUGCC
Molecule: long non-coding RNA, 515 nt
Filed under: Solanum tuberosum (potato)
Lineage: Eukaryota; Viridiplantae; Streptophyta; Magnoliopsida; Solanales; Solanaceae
Description: long non-coding RNA (STUB_LNC008843)
Source: RNAcentral